RNAcentral lists this ribosomal RNA (465 nucleotides) under Vreelandella stevensii. Its description in RNAcentral is "partial 16S ribosomal RNA". It matches the Rfam family "Bacterial small subunit ribosomal RNA", at positions 338 to 795 of the family's 1533-position model. Lineage: Bacteria; Pseudomonadati; Pseudomonadota; Gammaproteobacteria; Oceanospirillales; Halomonadaceae. The record is from RNAcentral.
CCUACGGGGUGCAGCAGUGGGGAAUAUUGGACAAUGGGCGAAAGCUUGAUCCAGCCAUGCCGCGUGUGUGAAGAAGGCCUUCGGGUUGUAAAGCACUUUCAGUGGGGAAGAAAGCCUUGGGGCUAAUACCCUCGAGGAAGGACAUCACCCACAGAAGAAGCACCGGCUAACUCCGUGCCAGCAGCCGCGGUAAUACGGAGGGUGCGAGCGUUAAUCGGAAUUACUGGGCGUAAAGCGCGCGUAGGCGGUCUGAUAAGCCGGUUGUGAAAGCCCCGGGCUCAACCUGGGAACGGCAUCCGGAACUGUCAGGCUAGAGUGCAGGAGAGGAAGGUAGAAUUCCCGGUGUAGCGGUGAAAUGCGUAGAGAUCGGGAGGAAUACCAGUGGCGAAGGCGGCCUUCUGGACUGACACUGACGCUGAGGUGCGAAAGCGUGGGUAGCAAACAGGAUUAGAUACCCUGGUAGUC